CAGUGAACGCUAACGCACAGUAGGCACAGUAGGUGGUGGCGAAUGACGAAAAUGGUGUAGAUGGCGCUUGCGCGGACGCGGCAAAAUUUUAAAUCUGACUGGUGUCGAUUAAAAUGGAAUCUGAAAAGCAUUUGAAAACAUGUAUGUCCUCUCAGUUGUAGGUUUUUAAAAGGCAACCUCCACUCGUGAAGAUUUCUCAAACUUAAGUGCCUAACAAAUACCUACGUCAUAAAUUACUGGAAAUAUUCGUUCUUAAUUAACUAUAAGGCCACGUACUCAACAGUAAUGUGAUAUAAUUCCUGAUACUUAAUUACAACUAAGAGGUAUCAACCGGGGAAUAUCCCAUCCGGCACCAGGCAGUAACCGGAGGAUUACCGUUCCGAUCGACCAUUCCCCAGGCAUCAACCGGGGGAUAUACUUUUCCGCCCUCCAGGGAUUAAUCGGAGAACUCCCGUCCCAAGUGACCUUCCUCCAGGCAUCAACCGGGGCAUAACCGACACGACCUAGCGCCACUCGGCAUUAAUCACAACCGCCGUCCACCUUUUGUACGUGGAGCAUAUGCUUGCGUCCAUGAUUGCUGUGUAUAUUGUGUGUUGAAUAAAUAUUUUCCUACCA
Zophobas morio is the source of this 615-nucleotide long non-coding RNA. RefSeq lists it as uncharacterized. The transcript is spliced from 3 exons. NCBI's taxonomy places the organism in Eukaryota, Metazoa, Arthropoda, Insecta, Coleoptera, Tenebrionidae. The record is from RefSeq and is a predicted model, not a curated record.